This 76-nucleotide transfer RNA is filed under the name bacterium. RNAcentral describes it as "tRNA-Lys". It matches the Rfam family "tRNA". From Rfam's summary of the family: Transfer RNA (tRNA) molecules are approximately 80 nucleotides in length. Their secondary structure includes four short double-helical elements and three loops (D, anti-codon, and T loops). The record is from RNAcentral. RNAcentral also lists the same sequence under 2 other names.
GGGCGCAUAGCUCAGUUGGCAGAGCAGCUGACUCUUAAUCAGCGGGUCCCAGGUUCGAGCCCUGGUGCGCCCACCA